This is an unclassified non-coding RNA of Otolemur garnettii (small-eared galago), 105 nucleotides long. It matches the Rfam family "Y RNA". From Rfam's summary of the family: Y RNAs are components of the Ro ribonucleoprotein particle (Ro RNP), in association with Ro60 and La proteins. The Y RNAs and Ro60 and La proteins are well conserved, but the function of the Ro RNP is not known. The record is from Ensembl. Lineage: Eukaryota; Metazoa; Chordata; Mammalia; Primates; Galagidae.
GGCUAGUCCACAGGUAGUGAGUUAUCUCAAGUGAUUGUUCAUAGUCACAGGUUGAAUGCCUUAUUCUACUUUUUCUCUUCUCACUACUGCAUUUGACUAGUAAAA